CGACGCCGGCGCUGCGCAGGACGAGGCCGGCCAGUUGCAGGCUGGCCUCCAUCGUCUCGGGCACGAUGGCGCUGGC
RNAcentral lists this transfer RNA (76 nucleotides) under Azospirillum oryzae. RNAcentral describes it as "tRNA-Cys". Lineage: Bacteria; Pseudomonadati; Pseudomonadota; Alphaproteobacteria; Rhodospirillales; Azospirillaceae. The record is from RNAcentral.